AUGUCGCAGAGCGGCGCGCCGCGCCAGUCGCGCACUCCUCCACCCGCGAAACAGCGACGGCGCUCGCCCACCCGCGGCAGGAGUAGAGUUCGACGUGGUGGCGGCGAGGUGGUCGUGCAGCAGGUCGUGCGCGAGUCCAGCAGUGGCUCCGGCGCAAACCUGCAGUUCCCGAUGCUGACGCGUGGCGGGUACACGCACUGGGCGAUGGUCAUGGAGGUAAACCUUCAGGCCGCGUCGCUCUGGGACGCGAUCGAGGACGACACCGUCCCUCGCGUCGACGACAAGAAGACCCUGGCGGCGCUGCUCCGAUCGACGCCGGCCGACAUGCACUGCAUGUUGAUCGGGAAGGGAUCGGCCAAAGCGGCGUGGGAGGCGAUCCGGGUCCAGUACCAAGGACCUGAUCGCGUGCGCGACGAACGACUGCGGCGUCUGCGAACUGAGUUCGAAACCGUGGUGUUCACGGACGGCGAGAAGAUCCAGGAUUUCGCCAUCCGCAUCUCCAACCUCGCCGCUGCACUGCGUUCACUGGGGAACGCCGUCGACGAAGAGAAAAUAGUGAGAAAAUUCCUUUCAGUUGUUCUUUCGCGUUUUGCACAGAUCGCCUUCUCGAUGGAAACCCUCCUCGACCCUGCAUCGUUGACUGUCGAGGAGGUCACGGGCCAUCUGCGCGCGAUCAAGGAGCGCAUGGAUGGAGACCAGGGCAGCGGCUCCGCAGGCGGGCAGCUGCUCCUCACUGAGGAACAGUGGGAGGCACGCAAGCGCCAGCCCCGUGGCGGUGGUUCUGGCGUCAAGAACGACGACCGCGGCAAGAGGAGCGGCCAGCCGCCACCGGUGCCGGUGGCCGCAAACCUCGCCGAGGCAGAGGAGGACGGCGGUCCUGGCCUCAUGAUGGCGUGUGUCGAGGAAGUGCGCGAGGGCAUAGAUCACGCGGCCACCCCUGCAUCAACACUGGUGAGCGCGUCGUGCAACUCUGCGGUGCACAACGGCGGCCAAGUCUUUCUGAACGAAGAGAAGGCCGUCAUCACGCCCUCCCUCGACGGCGAUCAGGGGCGGCACAAUUCAGACAGAUCUAGCAUCAAGCUAAUAAUUAAGAACAUGGCGAAAUUGCACCACCAAUCCACAACAAUGAGCAUGCCGAAGCAAGAGCUUGCCUACCUGGGGUGGGCUGCGCUGAAGGUGGAAGAAGAGUUCGACCAAGGGAGCAGAGGGAGAGCUCAGGAGGAUAUGUGCCCAAAAACACAGAUCCAGCCGAGUGGAGAGAGAGUCGGCAAAAGCAACUUCCGCUCGCUCAUCUCCUUCCCGCCGCCGCCAAGAAACCUCGCCGUGCGCUCGGCGGUGGCCCGUCUAGCUGCGCGUGGUCAGAGAGAGGAGCUCGACGGGACGGAGAGGAGGAGGCCGGGCGGCUCGCGCCGCCGGCCCGAGCGUUGGGUCGAGGCAGAGCUAGCAGGGAGAGAGACCGCGCGCGGCUAG
Molecule: ribosomal RNA, 1470 nt
Filed under: Triticum aestivum (bread wheat)
Lineage: Eukaryota; Viridiplantae; Streptophyta; Magnoliopsida; Poales; Poaceae
Description: partial small subunit ribosomal RNA
Source: RNAcentral